CACCAACGCACUAGUCCACUACACCAGGCUCCGAAUCUUCAAACAAGCAACAUCUCUUUGUUUUAUUGGACUGGAAUUGUCAGAUUCAAAAUGCCACCAGCAAAGAGAGGUCCUCAAUUCAGUGUGCAGGAUGUGAUGCCAUCCAAAACGGAGAAAGUGGGUGAGAACCGGAAUCUCUGGAAUGAUCUGUGACUUUGAUGUGUACCAAGGCAGUGUCAAUGGGAUACGAGUCAAGUCUGAACUUGGAUUGUCAGGUGAUGUUGUGAUUAAGCUUUCCUCCACGCUUCCAGAAGGUCAGAACUACAAGAUCUACGCAGACAACUACUUCACUUCACCUGUGUCCCAUUGGUAGUGAAGCUCCUUGAUCACGGGAUUCAUUAUGUGGGAACAGCCAGGCAGGUGCGCUUACCCAACUGUAGCCUUGAAGAGGAGAAGAGCUUGAAGAAAAAAGGGAGAGGAAGCUUUGACAUCCGAGUGGAGACCAACCAUCUGUGCUGUCAAAUGGUAUGACAGCAGAGCGGUCACACUUGUCUCAUCCUUUGCUGGACCACACCCUGUGCAGAACAUUCAACGCUGGGACAAAGCCAACAAAACCUACGUAGAAGUUGAGAGGCCUUCCAUUGUGGCUACGUACAACAAGUACAUGGGAGGUGUGGAUUUGUUGGACUCGUUUAUGGCCAAAUAUAAGUUCCCCAUGAAGUCCCGACGCUGGUACGUGUAGAUCUUCUGGCACACCAUCAUCCUUGCUGUGAUCAACGCCUGGCUCCUCUACAAGCGGGACUGCAGAGCUCUAAAGAUGCCAAAGCAGGAGAUCCUGAACAGGAGACAGUUUCAGGCAGAUCUAGCAUCCUCUCUCAUCCUGAUGAACACAACUCCUCUGAAAACACCAAAGAGAGGACGACCAUCUUCAGGCAACGGGAGCCCAGCAGCGACGGUGACAUCAAGGAGCCCGUUGAUUGCUCAGAAGAGACCAUCCUCAGGUGAUGGGAGUCCAUACAAGAGAUCACAACCUCCCCUGGAUGUACGGAAGGACCUAGUGUUACAUUUUCCAGUGAAGACAAAGAGAG
Molecule: long non-coding RNA, 1067 nt
Organism: Gymnodraco acuticeps
Lineage: Eukaryota; Metazoa; Chordata; Actinopteri; Perciformes; Bathydraconidae
Exons: 3
Source: RefSeq, a predicted model, not a curated record